Molecule: unclassified non-coding RNA, 253 nt
Filed under: uncultured Chloroflexota bacterium
Lineage: Bacteria; Bacillati; Chloroflexota
Description: uncultured Chloroflexi bacterium contains 16S-23S intergenic spacer region
Rfam family: Bacterial small subunit ribosomal RNA
Source: RNAcentral
UACGUAGGUGGCAAGCGUUGUCCGGAUUUAUUGGGCGUAAAGGGCGCGCAGGCGGUUCGUUAAGUCCGAGGUGAAAUCUCCCGGCCUAACUGGGAGGGGUCUUCGGAUACUGGCGGACUUGAGGAGAGCAGAGGUGAGCGGAAUUCUCGGUGUAGUGGUGAAAUGCGUAGAUAUCGAGAGGAACACCAGCGGCGAAGGCGGCUCACUGGGCUCCACCUGACGCUGAGGCGCGAAAGCGUGGGGAGCAAACCGG